CCCCUCUCCCCUGUUUCUUUUCUUCUUCCAUGCCCAAUCUCUUUCCCCUAUCUCUUUUCUUUUGUCUUUUCUUCCCAUUUUCUCUCUCUCAGCUCCACUGCUCUAGCCGACCCUCUCCAUUUCUCCCUCUCUUUCUCUCUUCACACACAGCAACCCGUGAGCCCACGAGCAACCGAACGUAAGCUGGGUUCGGUGGGUCUACCCAUUUUCUCCGGUGGUUUUCUGCAGAAAUUCGUAUGUGGGUUUAUACGUGAUUGCUUCCAAGCCAAUGGAACUUCUACAUGAUGUUUCUCUGGCUGCAGGUACUCCGGUCGUAGUGAUGGUGUUAUAGAUGUGCACGUGAGAUAUUAUGACCGAAGCUCGCCGCGACGGUCGUAAUUGCAGGACCAUGGGUGUCUUCAGUUUUAUAGGUUUUGUUAUGGCUUGUGACGCUUAUGUCACCUAAUCUAUGUUAGGCCAUUUUUGUUAUGUAUUUAUUAUAUUGAGGAAAAACUUAAACAUAUAGAUGUUAAAUGGCUCUUGUUGUAAUUAAUUGGUGAUAGAUGUUUGAGAUA
Long non-coding RNA from Alnus glutinosa, 554 nucleotides. RefSeq lists it as uncharacterized. The transcript is spliced from 3 exons. The record is from RefSeq and is a predicted model, not a curated record. Lineage: Eukaryota; Viridiplantae; Streptophyta; Magnoliopsida; Fagales; Betulaceae.